AAAUUUAAUUUUAUGUAUUAUAUGAUUGGCGGGUAUUACAUUUUAUUUAUCAAAUUUGCGAGUAUUAAAUUUUGGCGGACAUUACAAAUUUAAAAUUUAAUUUUGAGUAUUACGUGAUUUGUGAGUAUUACGUUUGAGAAAGGGCAUUACGUAGAAAGAAAAUAUUUGAGAAAACGCGUGGAUGCGGAUAUUACGUUAAAUAAGAGAUAAAUUUAAUUUUACGUAUUAUAUGAUUGGCAGGUAUUACAUUAUAUUUGAGAUAAAUUUAAUUUUACGUAUUAUAUGAUUGGUGGGUAGGAAGGAAAUAUUUGAGAAACGCGUAGAUAGGAGAUAACGGAUAUGAAGGGUAUUAUUGUCACAAAAAGUGACAGAUACUUUUAUUUUCAAUCGUUAGAUAAGAUCUAAUGGCAAAAAUUAAUAUCUUUAUUUGCGAAUAAAUUAUUAUUUAGUGAAUUAUUUGAAAUAAUUGGUUGAAAAUUACUGGACAUGAAAAUAUUAAUAAAAAGAAUAGAGGUAUUUUUGGAAAGAGGAAAAUAUUUAAAA
This 543-nucleotide long non-coding RNA is filed under the name Ananas comosus (pineapple). RNAcentral describes it as "long non-coding RNA (ACOM_LNC014732)". Lineage: Eukaryota; Viridiplantae; Streptophyta; Magnoliopsida; Poales; Bromeliaceae. The record is from RNAcentral.